CUCCUACGGGAGGCAGCAGUGGGGGAUAUUGCACAAUGGGGGAAACCCUGAUGCAGCGACGCCGCGUGGAGGAAGAAGGUUUUCGGAUUGUAAACUCCUGUCGUUAGGGACGAUAAUGACGGUACCUAACAAGAAAGCACCGGCUAACUACGUGCCAGCAGCCGCGGUAAAACGUAGGGUGCAAGCGUUGUCCGGAAUUACUGGGUGUAAAGGGAGCGUAGGCGGGACGGCAAGUCAGAUGUGAAAACUAUGGGCUCAACCCAUAGACUGCAUUUGAAACUGUUGUUCUUGAGUUAGGUAGAGGUAAGCGGAAUUCCUGGUGUAGCGGUGAAAUGCGUAGAGAUCAGGAGGAACACCAGUUGCGAAGGCGGCCUACUGGGCACCAACUGACGCUGAGGCUCGAAAAUUUGGGUAGCAAACAGGAUUAGAUACCCUGGUAGUCCACACCGUAAACGAUGAUUACUAGGUGUUGGAGGAUUGACCCCUUAAGUGCCGCAGUUAACACAAUAAGUAAUCCACCUGGGGAGUACGACCGCAAGGUUGAAACUCAAAGGAAUUGACGGGGGCCCGCACAAGCAGUGGAGUAUGUGGUUUAAUUCGACGCAACGCGAAGAACCUUACCAAGUCUUGACAUCCCUUCACAGGCAUAGAAAUAUGUUUUCUCUUCGGAGCAAGGAGACAGGUGGUGCAUGGUUGUCGUCAGCUCGUGUCGUGAGAUGUUGGGUUAAGUCCCGCAACGAGCGCAACCCUUAUGGUCAGUUACUACGCAAGAGGACUCUGGCCAAACUGCCGUUGACAAAACGGAGGAAGGUGGGGAUGACGUCAAAUCAUCAUGCCCUUUAUGACUUGGGCUACACACGUACUACAAUGGCGUUAAACAAAGAGAAGCAAGACCGCGAGGUGGAGCAAAACUCAGAAACAACGUCCCAGUUCGGACUGCAGGCUGCAACUCGCCUGCACGAAGUCGGAAUUGCUAGUAAUCGUGGAUCAGCAUGCCACGGUGAAUACGUUCCCGGGCCUUGUACACACCGC
This 1032-nucleotide ribosomal RNA is filed under the name uncultured bacterium. RNAcentral's name for it is "bacterial SSU rRNA". It matches the Rfam family "Bacterial small subunit ribosomal RNA", at positions 336 to 1393 of the family's 1533-position model. The record is from RNAcentral.